CUGAGGUAAACCCCGGACAGAAACAGACUUGUUUCGCCUUCCUCACAGACACACACGCCCCUACUCCGAACCCAAGGAAAGAAUCGCUGAUCGACUCCUUUCCGUUGCUUCCUUUUGAAGACUCUCUCAAUCCCCGAUGUAGGAUUUUAUGGCAAAGCAGGAACAGGUGCCACUGAAGGUGUCCGAGGGAAAGGAAAGCUGGGCACUCCUCCUCCAGCUCACCUAUGCACGUCCCAGUGUGGGAUGAGCUUAGAGCCAGGUCUAAACACUCGAGACUGUCCAGAGGUGAGCAUAUCCUCCAACUACCCACAGGGAAGACGGGUUCCGCAAAAGGGUCCGGGGAACGUGUCUGA
Long non-coding RNA from Herpailurus yagouaroundi (jaguarundi), 353 nucleotides. RefSeq lists it as uncharacterized. NCBI's taxonomy places the organism in Eukaryota, Metazoa, Chordata, Mammalia, Carnivora, Felidae. The record is from RefSeq and is a predicted model, not a curated record. The transcript has 3 exons.